GCCUGGGUGGCUUAGUCGGUUGAGUGUCCGACUUCAGCUCGGGUCAUGAUCUCGCAGUUUGUGGGUUCAAGCCCCGCGUCAUGCU
RNAcentral lists this transfer RNA (85 nucleotides) under Felis catus (domestic cat). It matches the Rfam family "tRNA". From Rfam's summary of the family: Transfer RNA (tRNA) molecules are approximately 80 nucleotides in length. The record is from Rfam by way of RNAcentral. Lineage: Eukaryota; Metazoa; Chordata; Mammalia; Carnivora; Felidae.